This 961-nucleotide ribosomal RNA is filed under the name Oesophagostomum columbianum. Its description in RNAcentral is "large subunit ribosomal RNA". Lineage: Eukaryota; Metazoa; Nematoda; Chromadorea; Rhabditida; Strongylidae. The record is from RNAcentral.
UAAAUAUAUAUUUUUUUAUUUUUUGAUAUUGCAUAUCGCUUAAAGAAAAUUUUAUUAUUAAUAAAAUAUAAAAUUAAAAGGUAGAAAAAUUUAUUUUUUUUAUUGUUUCAUAAUAAAAAUUAUAAUUUUUAGGGUUGAAAAGUCGACUUUUAGGUUAUUUGUUUUUUUAUUUUAAUUAGAAAUUUAUUAGGUUAUUAAUUUAGUUUUGUAAAAAGUAAAAGUUAAAGUAUUUUUAUUUUUAGUUUUAUAACUGUUUAUUUUAGUUAUUAUUUUUAAAGUUUAUUUAUUUAUAAUAAAAUUUUAUUGUAUUAAUUAUUUUAGGAUUAGUAAAAAGUUAAAUUUAAUGUUAAUUUAUUAAUAUAAUUAAAAAACUCAAAAAUUAAUCAAAUGUUUUUUAAAGACUUAGACUUUUUUAUAAAGUUAGCUUCUGCCCGGUGAUAAUAAUUAAAUGGCAGUCUUAGCGUGAGGACAUUAAGGUAGCAAAAUAAUUUGUGCUUUUAUUGAGUUCCAGUAUGAAUGAAGUUAUUGGUUAAUUUAUUUUUUAAUUUUAUUUUGAAGUUUUAUUUAGUAUAAAAAAGUAUUAUUGUAAUAAAACAAAGAUAAGUCUUCGGAAAUUCUUUUUAAAAAGUAAUUUUUAUUACUUUUUAAAAUUUUCUAGGGUAGAAUUUUAAAUAAUAGUUAUAUCUAUUAAUAAUUUAAUGAAUUACUUCGGAGUUAACAGAAAAUCAUAUCUAAUCUAGUUCGUAUUGUAAGAUAAGUUUUACAUCGAUGUUGUAUUUAAGUUUAUUAAAAAAGGAGAAAAUUUAAUUUUUAAGACUGUUCUUCUUUUAAUUAAUUUAACGUGAUAUUAGUUUAAUUCAUUGUAAGAUAGAAUUGUUUAUCUUGUUUAUUACUUUUUGUUAAUUUUAAUAGUACGAAAGGAAAAUAAAAAAGGUUUUAAACUUUACAAGGUUUGUCCUUA